This 166-nucleotide non-coding RNA is filed under the name Chloroflexota bacterium. RNAcentral's name for it is "Chloroflexi bacterium (marine sediment metagenome) 6S RNA". It matches the Rfam family "6S / SsrS RNA". Rfam says of the family: E. coli 6S RNA was the first non coding RNA to be sequenced, but its function was unknown until recently. It consists of 184 nucleotides that fold into an extended hairpin structure with a large single-stranded internal bulge. The 6S RNA specifically associates with RNA polymerase holoenzyme containing the sigma70 specificity factor. Lineage: Bacteria; Bacillati; Chloroflexota. The record is from RNAcentral.
GUCACCCUGUAGUGCUCGUGAUGCGACUAGAGAGUUUUGAGCCAACACUUGAUAAAUAGGGAGCCGAUCUCUAGAGGGGCUGUCCGUAGGACAAUAACCGAUAGGUAGGCACCCACCUGCGCAAGCAGGUUCAAAACUUACAAGCACACGACACAGCGGGGGACGU